CCCUUAGAUGUUCUGGGCUGCACGCGCGCUACACUGAUGCGCUCAACGAGUUUAUGACCUUGCCCGGAAGGGUUGGGUAAUCUUUUCAAAACGCAUCGUGAUGGGGAUAGAUUAUUGCAAUUAUUAAUCUUCAACGAGGAAUUCCUAGUAAGCGCGAGUCAUCAGCUCGCGCUGAUUACGUCCCUGCCCUUUGUACACACCGCCCGUCGCUACUACCGAUUGAAUGGUUUAGUGAGGCCUUCUGACUGGCGCCGCUACUCUGGCAACAGAGCGGCGGAUGCCGGGAAGUUGGUCAAACUUGAUCAUUUAGAGGAAGUAAAAGUCGUAACA
RNAcentral lists this ribosomal RNA (330 nucleotides) under uncultured eukaryote. RNAcentral's name for it is "partial 18S ribosomal RNA". It matches the Rfam family "Eukaryotic small subunit ribosomal RNA", at positions 1470 to 1796 of the family's 1831-position model. The record is from RNAcentral.